RNAcentral lists this small RNA (28 nucleotides) under Bombyx mori (domestic silkworm). RNAcentral describes it as "ovarian small RNA-23996". Lineage: Eukaryota; Metazoa; Arthropoda; Insecta; Lepidoptera; Bombycidae. The record is from RNAcentral.
UAUGUACUAUUUUAACAAAAUAUCAUGC